This 115-nucleotide non-coding RNA is filed under the name Alkalihalobacillus pseudalcaliphilus. Its description in RNAcentral is "Bacillus pseudalcaliphilus SAM-I sequence". It matches the Rfam family "SAM riboswitch aptamer (S box leader)". From Rfam's summary of the family: The SAM riboswitch is found upstream of a number of genes which code for proteins involved in methionine or cysteine biosynthesis in Gram-positive bacteria. The record is from RNAcentral. Lineage: Bacteria; Bacillati; Bacillota; Bacilli; Caryophanales; Bacillaceae.
CUCUUAUCCCGAGUCGGUGGAGGGACAGGCCCGAAGAAACCCAGCAACCAUCAUUUCAAUGAAAAGAAAUGAAAAGGUGCUAACCUGCAAGGCAUAUGACCUUGAACGAUAAGAG